This 429-nucleotide ribosomal RNA is filed under the name uncultured Thiobacillus sp. RNAcentral's name for it is "bacterial SSU rRNA". It matches the Rfam family "Bacterial small subunit ribosomal RNA", at positions 355 to 776 of the family's 1533-position model. The record is from RNAcentral. Lineage: Bacteria; Pseudomonadati; Pseudomonadota; Betaproteobacteria; Nitrosomonadales; Thiobacillaceae.
UGGGGAAUUUUGGACAAUGGGGGCAACCCUGAUCCAGCCAUUCCGCGUGAGUGAAGAAGGCCUUCGGGUUGUAAAGCUCUUUCAGCAGGAACGAAACGGUACGCGCUAACAUCGUGUGCUAAUGACGGUACCUGCAGAAGAAGCACCGGCUAACUACGUGCCAGCAGCCGCGGUAAUACGUAGGGUGCGAGCGUUAAUCGGAAUUACUGGGCGUAAAGCGUGCGCAGGCGGAUUGUUAAGCAAGAUGUGAAAUCCCCGGGCUUAACCUGGGAAUGGCAUUUUGAACUGGCAGUCUAGAGUGUGUCAGAGGGGGGUGGAAUUCCACGUGUAGCAGUGAAAUGCGUAGAGAUGUGGAGGAACACCGAUGGCGAAGGCAGCCCCCUGGGAUAACACUGACGCUCAUGUACGAAAGCGUGGGUAGCAAACAGG